RNAcentral lists this ribosomal RNA (253 nucleotides) under uncultured bacterium. RNAcentral's name for it is "partial 16S ribosomal RNA". It matches the Rfam family "Bacterial small subunit ribosomal RNA", at positions 524 to 776 of the family's 1533-position model. The record is from RNAcentral.
GACAGAGGAGGCGAGCGUUAUCCGGAGUCAUUGGGCGUAAAGGGUACGUAGGCGGCUAGUCAAGUCUGAGGUUAAAGACCACAGCUUAACUGUGGGAAGGCCUUGGAAACUGACUGGCUAGAGUGGGGCAGGGGUUGCGGGAAUUCCCGGUGUAGCGGUGAAAUGCGUAGAUAUCGGGAAGAACACCUGAGGCGAAAGCGCGCAACUGGGCCCUAACUGACGCUGAGGGACGAAAGCUAGGGGAGCGAAUGGG